Long non-coding RNA from Folsomia candida, 1193 nucleotides. RefSeq lists it as uncharacterized. The transcript is spliced from 2 exons. The record is from RefSeq and is a predicted model, not a curated record. NCBI's taxonomy places the organism in Eukaryota, Metazoa, Arthropoda, Collembola, Entomobryomorpha, Isotomidae.
CUGAAGAGGAAUGAUAUCAAGAAGCAGAAUUGGGAUGCUUUUUAAACGGUCGGUUUUAAAUCCAAGUGGAAAGGUUGGGCUAUUCCAUAGUUUAUAGCGGAUAGUUCAGAAGAACCUUCUCCACCUUCAAUCAUGUGUAUAAUAAAUCCAGGCCAGGUAUAUAAUAAAUCAUUUCUUGAAAAUAUAUUCGGGAAAGACAAAUUCGGCGCUCAGGCAACGGCAUGUUUGAUGGAUAUAUACAAUAGUGGACGAGUAAUCCUUGGCUAAAAUUAAUCAACUUCCUCGCUCAAUGUCAACAAUCUUACAUAAUUUCGACGUUGGAUUUUCUAUUCUUAGGCAGUGUGUUUAGACUAAAAGACUGGGUAAUAAUUCUGUAUCCAAUUGGUGCCCUUCAGAAUAUGUAGUAAAUUGGCAAAAAUUAUUUUACCUUAUUUCAUUAUUCAAAUUAUAUCUAUUUUUCCUUUUAAAUUUCAAUUGUCUAUAAUACAUAAAAGCAUUAUACUUACACAUUUACGUAUGUAUGUACCCAAUUAAAAAAUUUGUACCAAAUAUAGCAUAAAUAAUGAAAUUUUUAUCCGCCUAUAUGCACCUCCUGUUCAAACAUGUAUUGUGCAAAUACCGUACAUAGAUAAAUUUAUGUAAAUUUAUGUAUAAUUCAUGUAUCUAAUUAGAAAAAUAACAACCGCUUACAUAUGUCCCGCAGGGUAAAUAAAUAUUUGUAAGCAGUGUAAUAUAUGGAAUGCAUAACUAAGAUUACAAUUUUUGCCAAAACAAUUGUUAUAUUGCGUGCGCAAAGAUAAUUUAAGCAGGAUAUGAAUUCUAGCUAGCGGGCAUACAUAUACAUAUUUGUAAAUUUAUUCUGUAUUUCAGCAUAUUCUACAUAAAUAUUUGAACAUUGAGUAUGACGAUGCGAGUUAUUUUAUCCAUAUACCUAACUUAAUGUAUAAUUUUAGUAUAUAAUUAUUUAAAGAUUUUCAUAUUACUAGCAAGUUUCUAAUCAACCUCAUUUUUGUAAAUGGUCACAAUCACAUUUAAAUUAAUUACUUAACAGUAAACUAACGGUAAAAUUAACUUACAUUUAAAUUUCAAUCUAUUCAUCUUCACCCACUUUUCUACCACAAAGACAAAACUAGCCAGCAAAGCUAUCGCCCCGCAAAGAAUAAAUAACGUUAAAAUUGUCCCGUCUAAUUUAA